RNAcentral lists this ribosomal RNA (1359 nucleotides) under uncultured bacterium. RNAcentral's name for it is "bacterial SSU rRNA". It matches the Rfam family "Bacterial small subunit ribosomal RNA", at positions 28 to 1381 of the family's 1533-position model. The record is from RNAcentral.
GAUGAACGCUAGCUACAGGCUUAACACAUGCAAGUCGAGGGGCAGCAUUUCAGUUUGCUUGCAAACUGGAGAUGGCGACCGGCGCACGGGUGAGUAACACGUAUCCAACCUGCCGAUAACUCGGGGAUAGCCUUUCGAAAGAAAGAUUAAUACCCGAUGGCAUAAUUAGACCGCAUGGUCUUGUUAUUAAAGAAUUUCGGUUAUCGAUGGGGAUGCGUUCCAUUAGGCAGUUGGUGAGGUAACGGCUCACCAAACCUUCGAUGGAUAGGGGUUCUGAGAGGAAGGUCCCCCACAUUGGAACUGAGACACGGUCCAAACUCCUACGGGAGGCAGCAGUGAGGAAUAUUGGUCAAUGGGCGCAGGCCUGAACCAGCCAAGUAGCGUGAAGGAUGACUGCCCUAUGGGUUGUAAACUUCUUUUAUAUGGGAAUAAAGUUUUCCACGUGUGGAAUUUUGUAUGUACCAUAUGAAUAAGGAUCGGCUAACUCCGUGCCAGCAGCCGCGGUAAUACGGAGGAUCCGAGCGUUAUCCGGAUUUAUUGGGUUUAAAGGGAGCGUAGGUGGACAGUUAAGUCAGUUGUGAAAGUUUGCGGCUCAACCGUAAAAUUGCAGUUGAUACUGGCUGUCUUGAGUACAGUAGAGGUGGGCGGAAUUCGUGGUCUAGCGGUGAAAUGCUUAGAUAUCACGAAGAACUCCGAUUGCGAAGGCAGCUCACUGGACUGCAACUGACACUGAUGCUCGAAAGUGUGGGUAUCAAACAGGAUUAGAUACCCUGGUAGUCCACACAGUAAACGAUGAAUACUCGCUGUUUGCGAUAUACAGUAAGCGGCCAAGCGAAAGCAUUAAGUAUUCCACCUGGGGAGUACGCCGGCAACGGUGAAACUCAAAGGAAUUGACGGGGGCCCGCACAAGCGGAGGAACAUGUGGUUUAAUUCGAUGAUACGCGAGGAACCUUACCCGGGCUUAAAUUGCAUUUGAAUAUAUUGGAAACAGUAUAGCCGUAAGGCAAAUGUGAAGGUGCUGCAUGGUUGUCGUCAGCUCGUGCCGUGAGGUGUCGGCUUAAGUGCCAUAACGAGCGCAACCCUUAUCUUUAGUUACUAACAGGUCAUGCUGAGGACUCUAGAGAGACUGCCGUCGUAAGAUGUGAGGAAGGUGGGGAUGACGUCAAAUCAGCACGGCCCUUACGUCCGGGGCUACACACGUGUUACAAUGGGGGGUACAGAAGGCAGCUACCUGGUGACAGGAUGCUAAUCCCAAAAGCCUCUCUCAGUUCGGAUCGAAGUCUGCAACCCGACUUCGUGAAGCUGGAUUCGCUAGUAAUCGCGCAUCAGCCAUGGCGCGGUGAAUACGUUCCCGGGCCU